Molecule: ribosomal RNA, 601 nt
Filed under: Eulimnogammarus verrucosus
Lineage: Eukaryota; Metazoa; Arthropoda; Malacostraca; Amphipoda; Eulimnogammaridae
Description: SSU rRNA
Rfam family: Eukaryotic small subunit ribosomal RNA
Source: RNAcentral
CUUGUCUCAAAGAUUAAGCCAUGCAUGUCUAAGUCCAAGCUGUGUUCACACGGCGAGACCGCGGACGGCUCAUUAAAUCAGUCGUGGUCCAAAUGGGCCAGUGCAAAUCCUACUUGGAUAACUGUGGUAAUUCCAGAGCUAAUACAUGCAACUGAUAUCCCGAAGGCGGUGUUGGGGCUUGCUUGCCUUGCGCUGCGCUGCUCUGACGGAUGCUUUUAUUAGACCAAGCCGCUGAGGACUUGAGGGUUCGCGCUCUCUUGUUUGACUCGUGUGAUGGUGACUCUGGAUAACCAAAUUCUGACAAGCGCACGUACUUCUCUUCUGAGCGAGACGGCGCUGCCACUUUCGAGUGUCUGCCUUAUCAGCUAUCAACCGUUCGUUAUGCGCGACCGAUGGCUUUGACGGGUAACGGGGAAUCAGGGUUCGAUUCCGGAGAGGCAGCCUGAGAGACGGCUACCACGUCCAAGGACGGCAGCAGGCACGCAAAUUACCCAAUCCCAGCAAAUGGGGGAGGUAGUGACGAAAUCUAACGAUGCGGGCGCCCUUUCUGGGGCCCCGCAAUCGGAAUGGGCACUUUCUAAACAACCUGUUGAGAACCUAC